This 250-nucleotide ribosomal RNA is filed under the name uncultured prokaryote. RNAcentral describes it as "partial 16S ribosomal RNA". It matches the Rfam family "Bacterial small subunit ribosomal RNA", at positions 524 to 773 of the family's 1533-position model. The record is from RNAcentral.
UACGUAUGGAGCAAGCGUUAUCCGGAUUUACUGGAUGUAAAGGGAGCGUAGACGGUUUGCCAAGUCUGAUGUGAAAGGUGUGGGCUCAACCCGCAAACUGCAUUGGAAACUGGUAGACUAGAGUGUCGGAGAGGUAAGUGGAAUUCCUAGUGUAGCGGUGAAAUGCGUAGAUAUUAGGAGGAACACCAGCGGCGAAGGCGGCUUACUGGACGAUAACUGACGUUGAGGCUCGAGAGUGUGGGGAUCAAAC